GAUGAACGCUGGCGGCGUGCCUAAUACAUGCAAGUCGAGCGAACAGACGAGGAGCUUGCUCCUCUGACGUUAGCGGCGGACGGGUGAGUAACACGUGGAUAACCUACCUAUAAGACUGGGAUAACUUCGGGAAACCGGAGCUAAUACCGGAUAAUAUAUUUAACCGCAUGGUUCAAUAGUGAAAGACGGUUUUGCUGUCACUUAUAGAUGGAUCCGCGCCGCAUUAGCUAGUUGGUAAGGUAACGGCUUACCAAGGCAACGAUGCGUAGCCGACCUGAGAGGGUGAUCGGCCACACUGGAACUGAGACACGGUCCAGACUCCUACGGGAGGCAGCAGUAGGGAAUCUUCCGCAAUGGGCGAAAGCCUGACGGAGCAACGCCGCGUGAGUGAUGAAGGUCUUCGGAUCGUAAAACUCUGUUAUUAGGGAAGAACAAAUGUGUAAGUAACUAUGCACGUCUUGACGGUACCCAAUCAGAAAGCCACGGCUAACUACGUG
RNAcentral lists this ribosomal RNA (497 nucleotides) under uncultured bacterium. RNAcentral describes it as "partial 16S ribosomal RNA". It matches the Rfam family "Bacterial small subunit ribosomal RNA", at positions 28 to 507 of the family's 1533-position model. The record is from RNAcentral.